GCAACUUCUGAAAAAGCAGCUUCUCUAAAUAAUGGUAUCAUCUAAAGGAGCUAUCAGGAUCUAAUGUGGAAAUGGAAUGGAUAGCUUUGGAAGGUUCAGUAUCUUCAGGGCAGUGAUUCUUUUUGGAGAUGUGAUGCAUGGAACUGAUACCAGAGUCUUGAUACCACUUUGAGGAUGAAGCUGAGACACAGGAAUGAAUGGACAUAAGAACACUGCAAAACCAUACAGUAGCCACUAA
Long non-coding RNA from Nannospalax galili (Upper Galilee mountains blind mole rat), 238 nucleotides. RefSeq lists it as uncharacterized. The transcript is spliced from 3 exons. The record is from RefSeq and is a predicted model, not a curated record. Lineage: Eukaryota; Metazoa; Chordata; Mammalia; Rodentia; Spalacidae.